GUCUCUACCUCCCUUUUACUUUUUGUAGGUUUCGAUCGACAGCUGAUCAUCGAUCUCGUUAUGUAUAUUCGGCGUUUGUAUUCACCUUUGAUUUUCUGCUGCCUGCUUUUCCAUUUAGCUGAAUCUACGGCCGAUCAAUGAAGAUUUUAUGUUUGAAUUUACGAUGGCUUGAUUUUUGUUCGAUUUUCUGCUUAGAUGGAGCUCGGAGAGAUCUGUUUUAGCAAUCAGCUGAGUCGAUGAAAUUCGUUCAUUGAUCUGCCCAUGGUAAACGAUCUUAUUCAUGCUUAGCCGAGCACGAGAGGCUUUCCGUCAUUCAUCGCCAUCGUCUCAAAAACUGGUGAAACUUGAUUGGUUAAACAACGAGAGAAGUCCAAGGUGCGGUUCGCCAUUCGUAUAAAUGGAACUCUAGGUAGUGUUGUAGUCGUAUGUAAAAAAAAGUGUUGAGUGAUAUAUUUGAUCUUCUGAGAGAAGACGAGUGGGUGAGCUGAUCGGCCUUUACCAUGUUGGGUGCGCUCGCAUGGUAGGUCACCACAUAAUAAAAGCUAUUUUUUGUGUUUAGAGGGGAGAUGGUACGGUGAUUUGUCCGGCUCUCCCCUCUUGUGUGCGGUGUUCUUCGUUUUUUGCUUCUCUUCUUUCCCAUAACCCCGUCGCCAUCAUCUAGUUCAGCACUUAUAACUCCGUCAAACAGUUUCAGUAUUUGCUGGCUUUGAAUGGUAACAUUUUGAGCCAUUCAUUCAAGACCAAAACAUGAUAUUAAUCGACGAAAAUGAACUUCACAAGGGCUGGGGCGGAUGAAUUCACCUAUAAGGUACAAAUUAGCACUCUGCCUCUUUACGUUGUUAAUUUUCUUCUAAUCUUGUCUCUAAGUUAUCCAGUGACUCAAUAAGGCAUCAGGUACAAAUACGCACUCUACUAUCCUUCAAUAUUGUCUUUACACUACUGUAAAUGAUCUGAUUUACCAAACCUUGAGCCUGAAAACAGUUACUCAAUCAGAGCCGACCUAGACAAUUAUUCUUUGUUGAGGACAAUUAAUUUCUGAAUUUCAUCCAUCUUUUGCUGGAAUCCACUACACCAUGUACAUGAAAUCAUGGCACGUUCAUGCACCACAACAAGCACAAUAAGUGUAUGAUUGCUGGCUCAUGCCACAGUUCCUUCUGACAUUUGAUAUCUUAAUAAUUGUCAAUCAGUUAAAUUCUACUAUAUAUUGUGUCUUUCUGCAUUCCAAUCAUAUUCAAUGACUCAAUUGUCAAGGUUGUACAAUUUGAACAGUAUGGUUUUGGCUCUUUUUGCCUUCCCUCAAAGUUAAUGACUCAAUACGUCUGUUUGUUUACAAAGUUGUACACUUGAACCGUAUGGUUUCAGCAAUCUUAAGCUAUUAUUUCUUUUAAUAUAUUGAGACAGUUGUGGUGGUUUGA
Molecule: non-coding RNA, 1415 nt
Organism: Salvia hispanica
Lineage: Eukaryota; Viridiplantae; Streptophyta; Magnoliopsida; Lamiales; Lamiaceae
Source: RefSeq, a predicted model, not a curated record